CCUACGGGAGGCAGCAGUGAGGAAUAUUGGUCAAUGGACGAGAGUCUGAACCAGCCAAGUAGCGUGAAGGAUGACUGCCCUCUGGGUUGUAAACUUCUUUUAUAAAGGAGUAAAGCGAGGCGCGUGUGCCUUUUUGCAUGUACUUUAUGAAUUAGGAUCGGCUAACGCCGUGCCAGCAGCCGCGGUAAUACGGAGGAUCCGAGCGUUAUCCGGAUUUAUUGGGUUGAAAGGGAGCGUAGAUGGGUUGUUAAGUCAGUAGUGAAAGUUUGUGGCUCAACCGUAAAAUUGCAUUUGAUACUGGCAGUCUUGAGUAUAGUUGAGGUAGGCGGAAUUCGUGGUGUAGCGGUGAAAUGCUUAGAUAUCACGAAGAACCCCGAUUGCGAAGGCAGCUUACUAAACUGUGACUGACAUUGAUGCGCGAAAGUGUGGGUAUCAAACAGGAUUAGAUACCCUUGUAGUC
Molecule: ribosomal RNA, 460 nt
Filed under: uncultured bacterium
Lineage: Bacteria
Description: partial 16S ribosomal RNA
Rfam family: Bacterial small subunit ribosomal RNA
Source: RNAcentral